UCGGAACAAACUUGCUAAGGGUCAUCUCCAUUGUUGGCUAGACUCCAACAAAUCUGUUCUCAAAUACUUAUCUAUACAUACAGUAUAUGGAUCCUGAACACCUUGUUAACAUUUCAAUACAGAUUUCCAUACAUUUUACAGAAAAUUCUGACAGUACAACUGUUUUCAGAUAAGUGAUUCCCUGAUCCGAGUCUUUCGAUGGAAAUAAUUGUAUGUAAAAAGUACCCAAUCGGCCUAUAAACUAGAUAAGUCAAUCAGAGCUGUCCAUGCAUCUCGAAUCCUAGGGUCUGUAUAUUGUAACAUUCGCCUAUCGCUGCACUGAAAGAAAUUGGCGGUACAGACUACACACGUGUGCACGUGUGUGGCUUCACGGUUUGUUUAUCUUCCCCUAUGUGAGGUGAACACAAAGAUGUGCCCUACAGUAUCUCCCUACUGUUGUAUUACAUAUAACAAUGACACUCUGGAACCAGCCCCACAUGGCCCCUAUAAUGAGGACUGUGGGAACUCCACAUGCUCCAGAUUGGGCAGCACUGGCACACACAGGAGGCUAGGAGUCUCAAGAGGCCACACUCAGCAGGGCAUUUACAAGCUGAUGGAGAUCUCUUUGUGAUGGACAACAAGUCGCAAAAAAAAAAUUGACAAUCAAGCAAGAGAGAUGCAGAUAAUAAAUAUUAGACAUAUGAGUGUUACCAGAAGUGACGGACAAGCGUAAAUGAUGAACUGGUUAAGAGGUAGACAUGCUAAAACAUCCCGUGCUGUGGACAGGUGAUUUCAAUAGGGGAAAGGGUGCAUAGUCAUUUGAUGCUGCUUAGUAUGUAAAAAUGUUCAAUACAAUUUUUAGAUAUUACUACAAUAGUAUACAUCAUACAGUAGCUCAAUGAACAGCCUAAUAACCAAUACAUGGGUAUAGGCCAACCUAGGUUACACAUAAGCCAAUAGUCCAGGCAUUUAACCCAACAAAACGUGCAGUACAAAUUAUUGAUCCAAUCAUGUUAAUGUAAAUAAGAGUGUUCAUUACAAUAAAAUUUUCUAUUGAUUAGUUGACGAUAGGCCUAUCACGAGAUUUGUUUAAAAGCACAGAUUUAAGAGUUACUUCCCGAGAUUUUUAUCGUUAUUGACAAAACUAUUUAUUUAACCUGUCAUAUAUUCAUUCAUCAAUCUGUUUAGUUAAUAAUUACUUUGAUUUGACGUUUUAUUCCAUAAGUAUUCAAUGUAAUCAAUAAUUUUUUAAACUGAAUAACUGAAUAAAAACAAAAUAAGUGGUAAAAUCAGAAAGAUUCUACUGUUUCUGUCGCGAAUGAACACAUUAUUUUCCUACGAGGUUGUGCGCUACCUGAGCAAAUCAGCUGAGCCAAUUUAUCAUACCUUAUCAACAGGUAAUAUUUACAAUCUGGAGAUAAGGGAAACCGCGGGAAUUACGUGUUGAUAUCACUCCACGUUGAGAUUUUCCGAUGUCAGAAUGUUAUUAUUUUAAAGAAAAUCAGAGAAAUCUUAAAAUCAAGAAGUAAGAAUGAGUCACGCAGUGUAAAAACACUCAAAGCUGUGUGCAGUGACGGGAGAAGUUUCAAAAUGGCUGCCAAAAAUCGGGGCUGUUCGCUUUGUGUCGGUAUGCGGCGAGUAUGUAGCUUACUUCCCACACAACAGCCCAGAAUUUGGUCACAAUCAUUAGAAAUUAGCAAAAACUAAAAUUUGGUAUAACAAAAUAUGAGUUUAAAAGAAUUUUAGUAACUUUUACGAAGUGAAUUGCUAGUGUUAUUUUUAGUCCAAAACUUUUGGUAGACAUGUUCCCCUCAAUGUGGGCCAGGCCCAAGUAGGAUGCACCAUCAGAAUUAAUAGACACACGAGUAAAUUCCAAUACGUUUUGCGUCCGUAUUAAAUCAUAUUAUCACUCCGAAUUAUCAAUAACAAUUUCUGCAAAAUUUGUGGCGAGAUACACCAAGAAAUUCGCACGUUUUCAAGCUUCACGUAA
This 1969-nucleotide long non-coding RNA is filed under the name Mizuhopecten yessoensis (Yesso scallop). RNAcentral describes it as "uncharacterized LOC110465692". Lineage: Eukaryota; Metazoa; Mollusca; Bivalvia; Pectinida; Pectinidae. The record is from RNAcentral.